ACUUUUUUAGUAUAAAAAAUAUAUUUGACUUCCAAUCAAAAGAUCUUAUCAAGAAAAAGUA
This 61-nucleotide transfer RNA is filed under the name Anacestra spiniger. RNAcentral's name for it is "tRNA-Gly". It matches the Rfam family "tRNA". Rfam says of the family: Transfer RNA (tRNA) molecules are approximately 80 nucleotides in length. Their secondary structure includes four short double-helical elements and three loops (D, anti-codon, and T loops). Lineage: Eukaryota; Metazoa; Arthropoda; Insecta; Hemiptera; Alydidae. The record is from RNAcentral.